GUACGGGGUGUUAGGGCACGACACCGGAGAGGGAGCCUGAGAAACGGCUACCACAUCCAAGGAAGGCAGCAGGCGCGCAAAUUACCCAAUCCCGACAUGGGGAGGUAGUGACAAUAAAUAACAAUACAGGGUUCUUUUGGAUCUUGUAAUUGGAAUGAGUACAAUUUAAAUCUCUUAACGAGGAACAAUUGGAGGGCAAGUCUGGUGCCAGCAGCCGCGGUAAUUCCAGCUCCAAUAGCGUAUAUUAAAGUUGUUGCAGUUAAAAAGCUCGUAGUUGAACUUCGGGAUCAAUUAGUUGGUCAUGCCUUGGUAUGUACUGAUUUUAUUGGUUCACACCUUCUAAAGAACUAUAAUGUCAUUUAUUUGAUGUUAUAGGGAAUUAGGACUGUUACCUUGAAAAAAUUAGAGUGUUUAAAGCGGGCUCACGCUUGAAUACAUUAGCAUGGAAUAAUGAAAUAGGACAUCGCAUUCUAUUUUGUUGGUUUCUAGGAUCGAUGUAAUGAUUAAUAGGGAUAGUUGGGGGCAUUAGUAUUCAAUUGUCAGAGGUGGAAUUCUUGGAUUUAUUGAAGACUAACUACUGCGAAAGCAUUUGCCAAGGAUGUUUUCAUUAAUCAAGAACGAAAGUUAGGGGAUCGAAGACGAUCAGAUACCGUCGUAGUCUUAACCAUAAACUAUGCCGACUAGGGAUCGGAUGAUG
This 697-nucleotide ribosomal RNA is filed under the name uncultured Glomeromycotina. RNAcentral describes it as "SSU rRNA". It matches the Rfam family "Eukaryotic small subunit ribosomal RNA", at positions 359 to 1062 of the family's 1831-position model. The record is from RNAcentral. Lineage: Eukaryota; Fungi; Glomeromycota.